CAGGAGCUCAGAGGGCUCCGGGGCGCGGGUGCAAGCGGCCCCUGAGCUGUGGUCAGAAACCGCCCUUCGCGCCACCAGCGCUGGGCAGGCCCCUUGGGCGCGCUCUCCACGCUGUUGCAAGUCCUGAACCCGUGCGCUGCAGCCAGCUCCCCGGCAGCCUCUGCCCGCACCUCAGAGGAGGACCCGCUCAGGAAGCUUCUGCCAAGCCUCGAGCUCUUCUCUUCCAGCAGGCUGCAUCCUUCCCCGUCUGUAUUUUUCCACUCAGUCUCCCAGCCCCUGAAGUCUUCCUGCUGCUGGCCAGUGACCCGGUCUCAGGGGUCAACGUGCUGGGGUCUGGCUCAGCAGGGCAGCUGCCCCAGGAUCCAGCGUCUGGCAGCACAACGGCCCCCGGGCCACCUUCCCCAGAGCCCCAGCCCCCGGAUGCCCCUGUCCCCGAGGACACAGAGCUAGGGUCCCAACAGGCCCUGUGCCUGCGUCCAGCGCAGCUCUCCAAUGAAUCGGACACACUGCCUGAGGGAGUCAAACGCAGGAAGCGGCAAUUUCAUAUUUCUUUGCAGCACUGAAAUAUCUCCAACUAACCCACCAAAACUCACACACCACAUCUGAUCGGGCACCAAACCCUGCGGCUCUCCCUUUGCGGCUCCAGAACCUGUCCCUGCCACGCCUUCCUCCGCCUUCUUGCGAUGGCUUCCUGAUCAGUCCAGAAGAGCAGCCUCGGAGACCUCCAGGAACAUCCAUCCGGUGUCCCACUUCUGCCCAACAUCCUCCAAAUUCCUCACGGUUCCUUCCAAAGUCGUGCUUGACCUCACGCUUCCAUCUGUCUGACUUGAUCUUCAGCUCAGCCCCGUUUCUUCUUUCCGGGCCUCGGGGUUCCCCGCCAUGCUGCGCACAUACAAGACGCGCCUGCGCCUCCGGGCCUUUGCGCCUGCUGGUUUCUUUGCCAGGAAAGCCUUUCCUAGGCAACCACGUGGCGCACCUACUCUACGUGCUGCUCCAGUGUCAGCUCCACGAACCCUCCAACCCCAGUUGUAACCCUCCCUCCCUCCCCUCUGCGCUCCCUAAACUUUUCUUGUUCGACUCUAUUUUUCUUUAUUAAAUUUCUCACCAUUUGAUUGUCUAUAUAUGUACUUAUUUCUUGUCUUCCUUAUGCGCACGCGUGUGCGCACACACACACACACACAUACACACACACACAUAAGUACACACACACUCAAACUGAAAGCUUCAGAAAGCAAGGAUUUCUCCCACUUUCCUCAUGACUGUACCCUGAGCACUGGAAGACAAAUGCUCAACGAAUAAUUGCGCAGGUUGAAAGCCCACCUACGUUUCGUACCAGGCUGAGGAUGAACCAUGAUGAAAUAGCCAAACUCAGUAUGAUUUGUAUCUACAAUAUUAUUAAGUGGACUUCAUAUUAUACUGGGGAAGAAUACUUUAUACCCGACUUU
Molecule: long non-coding RNA, 1445 nt
Filed under: Chinchilla lanigera (long-tailed chinchilla)
Lineage: Eukaryota; Metazoa; Chordata; Mammalia; Rodentia; Chinchillidae
Description: lncRNA (ENSCLAG00000026638.1)
Source: RNAcentral